This 253-nucleotide ribosomal RNA is filed under the name uncultured bacterium. Its description in RNAcentral is "partial 16S ribosomal RNA". It matches the Rfam family "Bacterial small subunit ribosomal RNA", at positions 524 to 776 of the family's 1533-position model. The record is from RNAcentral.
UACGGGGGGAGCAAGCGUUGUUCGGAUUUACUGGGCGUAAAGGGCGCGUAGGCGGCGUGACAAGUCACUUGUGAAAUCUCCGGGCUUAACUCGGAACGGUCAAGUGAUACUGUCGUGCUAGAGUACAGAAGGGGCAACUGGAAUUCUCGGUGUAGCGGUGAAAUGCGUAGAUAUCGAGAGGAACACCUGCGGCGAAGGCGGGUUGCUGGGCUGAUACUGACGCUGAGGCACGAAAGCCAGGGGAGCGAACGGG